Molecule: long non-coding RNA, 2303 nt
Filed under: Serinus canaria (Common canary)
Lineage: Eukaryota; Metazoa; Chordata; Aves; Passeriformes; Fringillidae
Description: lncRNA (ENSSCAG00000001578.1)
Source: RNAcentral
CGGACGAUCUGAUAAAAGCGGCCAGCAUCUGGCAGAUGGGGUUGUUUCUGCUUGUGGACUUGUGGGCCAAGCUGGCCAGGAAGGCCACCAAGCUCCACCAUACCUGCAGGGUGGUGGCCAACAAGGUGACCGACAUGGCGAGCACUGCCACCGCCCGGGCCAGGGAGCUGCAGGCCGAGGCUUCCUGUGAUGGCACAGCUCAGGAAAACAUGGUGGAGCUGGGUCAGGCCCUGGGUGGGGAGGAGGGGGCUGAAGUGGUUGCCGGGACUGAAGCCCAGGUGAGGAGAUAUGCCGUGGAGGCUGCCAGCGAGGCAAGAAGGGUGAGACAGCGGCUGGAGGUGGCCCUGGGGCUGCUGGAGCGCUUGGUGGCCGCGUGUGACGAAGCCACCGCCUUCCCCCGGGAGCUGCAGCGCCUGCUCAGGGGCACCGAGGCUGCCGUGAAGAGGACAAAUGAGGCAUCCCCCCAAUGUCCCUCUAUGUGAAGACGGCUUGGUGGCCAAGGUGGCUGUGGCCGAGCGGCUGUGGGAGGCCAACGCCCGCCUGGUCAAGGAUCACCUGCUGGGGACACUUCAAGACAUCAUCAAGUUCUAUUUCACUGGUGGGGGGUGGCAGUGGGAACAAGAGGCUGACCAAGGGACGGAGGGGCAAAGAGGACCCCUCAGGGGCACGGGGCCACUGCAGGAGGCCAUAAAUGCCACCAGGUCCUUGACACCUCCACAGCUGCAGGCGCUGGUGGUUGUGGUGGCCACCCUGGGCGAGGUGGUGGCCACUGUGCCGAGGCCACGCAGGGCCAAGUCCCUAGACUCCCUGCAUGAGGACCUGAGGAGGUUCACCCGGAGCCUCUGUGCGAUCCUGAACCACAGCAGUGUCACCUCCCUGGGCCACCGUGGUGUCCCCUCCCUGGGCCAGGCCCUGGCCACCGUCGGGGCCACCCCUGGGACCACCUGGGCCGAUGUGAGAGCUGUGACCAGCGCCUGGCGGGAGUUGGUGGCCAGGCUUGUGGACAGCUGGGACUGGCUGGCCAGGGUGGCCAUCAAGCUCCGUAAGAACAUGGUGGUGGAGCAGCAGGUGGUGGUCCUGGAUGAGCAGGAGGUGGCCUUGGAAAUGGCCACGCUUCAUGCCCAGGUGGUGGCAACCAUCAAUGAGAUCAUGGCAGAGGCUGGGGUGGCCACCAGGAGGGGACAUUGGGUGGACGAGACCCUGGAGCUGCUGCAGCACUUGGUGGCCACGUGUUACAGAGCCACCUUGUUCAACUGGAACUUGGAGUGGCGGCUCAGGGACAUCGAGGCCAUCCUGAAGGGGACAAAUGAGGUGUCCCCUGAUGUUCUCCAGGCCUUGGUGGACAAAGUGGCCGAGUUUGAGUGGCUGUGGGGGGCCAGCACCCGCCUGGCCAAGGAUCACCUGCUGGGGACACUUGGGGACAUCCACAACCUCUUGAGUCCCUGUGGUGACCAUGGUGGCCCCGGCAGCUGCGCGGUGGCCGAGCGGUGCCAAAGAGCCAUCAAGGACAUCCCAAGGCUGCUGUUGUGGUGGUGUUUGCAGGUCCCAGGAGAAGGGAGGAGAAGGGAAGAGAUGUGAAUCUGACUCCGUGUUUCAGAAGGCUGAUUAAUUAUUUUCUGAUAUAAUAUUAAAUAAUAUCAGACUGCUCUCCUAAAACUAUAUUACAAGAAAUAGAGAAAGGUCACAUCAGAAAGGUAGAAAAGAAUGAACAGUAAAAACCUGUGACAGAUCAGAGAAUCUGACACAUCUGGCUGUGAUCGACCAUCAGUUAAAAACAAUUCAUGUGCUUGGAUUAAAAGUUCUCCAAAUCGCAUUCCAAAGCAGCACAACAUGGAGAAGAUGAAGCUUCCCAGGAGAAAAAAUCCCAGCAAAAGGGAUUUUUCAUAAAAUAUCACAGUGAUGUGCUGUGGGGACAGUGAUGUCACCGCUGUGAUGUCACUGGGACAGUGAUGUCACUGAGAGACUUGUAGACACUCGAGUGCCACGGUCUCCCUAUGUCACCAAGAGUCCCUCAGGUGCCACCAGCUCCUCAUGUCAACCAAACCCCCCCAAGUGCCACCAGCUCCUCAUGUCACCAGCUCCUUGUGUCACCGAGAGACCCCAAGUGCCACCAGCUCCUCAUGUCACUGGCUCCUCAUGUCACCAAGAGCCCCUCGGGUGCCACCAGCUCCUCGUGUCACCAAGAGUCCCUCAAGUGCCACCAGCUCCUCUAAUGCUACCAGCUCCUUGUGUCACAGAGAGACCCCGAGUGCCAUCAGCUCCUUUAUUGCCUCCAGCUCCUUGUGUCACCGAGAGACCCCGAG